UGCGUGUAUGCAUUCAUAUAACUGUAGUGAAUGAUGAGUCAGAGGUUUAUUUGAAGAAAGAAAGUAGUGCAAUACUGUUUUGAAUGCUGCCAAACCAAACUCAACUCACAAAACUACAAAUUUAGAUUCUUUAAAAACGACACAGAUUAUGCCUGUUGAAGAAAGAAAGUGCGUCUUCUUCAAAAACAAUAUCUCAUGUCCCCAACCCUACCUUGACCCCCUUUUUUCUUGGCAUUAGUGAGUACCUACUCUGUUGACCGUUCGCUGCAUUAUAGAGGACUUUAUUAGCCUUAGCACCCAGGCCCUAAUUGACAUUUGAUGGAUGUUGCGAUCGUAACUCGGUCUCAGAAUAGAGUACAGACGCUCAGCCGAACCCAGAGAGCCACACAGCAAACCCUGUGAUCCUCAGCUCUCACAUAGGCAGCACAUACCACAGCUCUGCGGCAAAGCUAAGACAGGAGCAGCGAUUCAGAGUCAUGGAUAGACUGAGAGGAAUGGAGAUGAAAGAGUGAAGGAGGGAGAGAAGUAGGAGAGGCUGUUGCUAAUCAGUUUUCUCUCUUUUUUGGGUGCACUAACCUGCAGAGGGCCGCUGGCUGGCAUGGUGGAUCUCAGCGACGUCAGGUCGAUGUCUCGGCCCUGUUCCCCUCUCUCUGUCUUCCCAAGUCCCUGCAUAAUAAGGCCCGAAGCGAGCAAGCAAACCAAGCACUCACACACUCGCACACUCCAGUGUUACCCCCACAGCAGUGAAAAUGCUAAUGCAAGGAUGGCAGUGGUCGUUAUGAAAGGAAAUGACCCUGGACGCCAGGCACCAAGCACCAGGCAAAGGCCAGGGAGGACAGCCGAGGGACAAACAAACGGCUUAUUCACCCCGCUCCCUCCCUCUCUCUCUCUCACUUUGACCACUCUGUCUCUUUCUCCCACUAUUCUCCCCCCUGUACCAAAUCUAGGUUGCAAAAAUGUUCGAAUACAAAAUGAACUAUCAUGCUGAAAACCAGGCAAAUAUUGUCCCAAGUGUUUUCCAUAUUUAAAGUCAGUCUUGUCCCUA
Sebastes umbrosus (honeycomb rockfish) is the source of this 1045-nucleotide long non-coding RNA. RefSeq lists it as uncharacterized. Lineage: Eukaryota; Metazoa; Chordata; Actinopteri; Perciformes; Sebastidae. The transcript has 2 exons. The record is from RefSeq and is a predicted model, not a curated record.